RNAcentral lists this ribosomal RNA (427 nucleotides) under uncultured soil bacterium. RNAcentral describes it as "bacterial SSU rRNA". It matches the Rfam family "Bacterial small subunit ribosomal RNA", at positions 26 to 455 of the family's 1533-position model. The record is from RNAcentral.
AGAUUGAACGCUAGCGGGAUGCUUUACACAUGCAAGUCGAACGGCAGCGCGGACUUCGGUCUGGCGGCGAGUGGCGAACGGGUGAGUAAUAUAUCGGAACGUGCCCAGUAGCGGGGGAUAACUACGCGAAAGCGUGGCUAAUACCGCAUACGCCCGUACGGGGGAAAGGGGGGGAUCGCAAGACCUCUCACUAUUGGAGCGGCCGAUAUCAGAUUAGCUAGUUGGUGGGGUAAUGGCUCACCAAGGCGACGAUCCGUAACUGGUCUGAGAGGAUGAUCAGUCACACUGGAACUGAGACACGGCCCAGACUCCUACGGGAGCAGCAGUGGGAAUUUGGACAGGUGGGGAAACCUGAUCCAGCCAUCCCGCGUGUGCGAUGAAGGUCCGUUCGGGUUGUAAAGCUACGUUUUGGCGAGGUAAGAAACGG